This 427-nucleotide ribosomal RNA is filed under the name uncultured bacterium. RNAcentral describes it as "partial 16S ribosomal RNA". It matches the Rfam family "Bacterial small subunit ribosomal RNA", at positions 355 to 774 of the family's 1533-position model. The record is from RNAcentral.
UGGGGAAUAUUGCACAAUGGGCGCAAGCCUGAUGCAGCCAUGCCGCGUGUGUGAAGAAGGCCUUCGGGUUGUAAAGCACUUUCAGCGAGGAGGAAGGGUAUUGUGUUAAUAGCACAUUGCAUUGACGUUACUCGCAGAAGAAGCACCGGCUAACUCCGUGCCAGCAGCCGCGGUAAUACGGAGGGUGCAAGCGUUAAUCGGAAUUACUGGGCGUAAAGCGCACGCAGGCGGUUUGUUAAGUCAGAUGUGAAAUCCCCGCGCUUAACGUGGGAACUGCAUUUGAAACUGGCAAGCUAGAGUCUUGUAGAGGGGGGUAGAAUUCCAGGUGUAGCGGUGAAAUGCGUAGAGAUCUGGAGGAAUACCGGUGGCGAAGGCGGCCCCCUGGACAAAGACUGACGCUCAGGUGCGAAAGCGUGGGGAGCAAACA